Molecule: long non-coding RNA, 5248 nt
Filed under: Gossypium barbadense (sea-island cotton)
Lineage: Eukaryota; Viridiplantae; Streptophyta; Magnoliopsida; Malvales; Malvaceae
Description: long non-coding RNA (GBAR_LNC021472)
Source: RNAcentral
GGAGACGGAUGAAUCUUAACAAACAUUAGAAAGCUCAACACAACAAUGCCAAGUUUGUGACAAUACAAAGGAGAGCAUUUUUCAAAAACAAAAUACAUAAGCAGAAUCAUAUAAAUAUUUCUUUCGGGAGAAUAGUAUAAGGGUAGAUUUGGAUGGGCGAUUGGGUGCGGUGCUGUGCGUUUAGCUUACUUUUUGUCUCACGCUACAGUAUCUAAUCUCACCGUCACCGCUGUUUUUACACUAACCGCAGGUAAACACACUGCCGAUCCAAACUCACCCUAAGUCACUAAGCGUUAGAUGCUUACAUGAAGGUGAUUGCACUGAUGGUGACUGAGCAAGGGGUGCAGAAACUGGGCCCUUCACGCUGUCUAUACCCUGGCCCGGAUGAGACCCAUAAGACACUGAAGGUAAUGGUGGUAGAUCUGGGGACAGCUGUGACGUGGAAUGUGGAUGAUGAGGAGUUAGGUUAGAAUGAGAUCUUGGAGUGGCAGGGCGAGAGUAUGGACAGGGGGGAGGAGCUAUAGUAGAGGGUGCAGGAGAAAUCAGAGGAGGAAAAGAAGGGUAGGGACCACUUUCAGGACCUGGUGAAUGCAGGGGACUAUUACCAGAUGGAGAAGCAGCUUUACACUUACGGCAAGGUUGGGGAUGAUGACUCUUGGGUGAUGAUGCUGGAGGAUGAGUAGGCCUAAAAGAAGGAUGUGGGGAAAUAGAUGGCUCUGGAGAUGGAGCUGGUGAAGCAGUGGGAGCAGUAGCAUGAAGUGUACCCUUGAGAUAAGAUGAUAAACUAAUGCUUUUAACUUUACCAAAGACUGAGUUAUUAAGACCAAGAUUCUUAGCAGGAGACUCUGUGAUGGUUUGAGCCAAUUGCUUUAAUCUCUGAGGCAGAAGGUUACCAAAAUCAGAUGAUGUCACUGAAGCCUGAAUGAUGACUAGGGAGGAUAUCGUCGACCCUUUUUGGUUUGUUAAUUGCACAAACAAAUUCUGCAAUUAAAAAUAAUAAUAAUUAUUAGCUAGUACCAUAAAUAGGAAUCAAACAUUAGGACAUAUGCUCUUCCCUCCAAACUCCCAAUUUCUGGUCCACUGCAAUGAAGAAACUUCAAGGGUUUAAUUUCCUAAACUCGGGCUAAGAUGCAGUUACUAAUAAAUGAUUUGACAGUUAUACCUAUAUCCUAGGAGCUGCUAAUCAAGAGUGUUAAUACAGUUAACACAGAACACUUAAGAUGCAGUGUCUUUCUUUAUCCUUUUUGAGAAUCAAUUUACUAUUAUUCAACAAUUCAAUUGAUUUUGAAUAAUUGGGUAGCAAGAAAUCUUCCAAUUCCCACUUCCAAACACUAUUAGAUCAGAUCUGAGGUCAUGGGAAUGGUAGUGUGAUACUACCAUAGAUCCACCCAAAAACCAAAUAUUGGUGAAAUCAAAAUGCGCAAGUGUUGCUAGAAACAGAUACCAUACCUCAUAAGGUCUCAGACGCAGGCCAUAUUUCAGCUGAUCUUUUAACUGAAUGAAGUUGGCCAGUAUUUCAGCUAUAGAAUUAUUCAGAGUAAAAUUAAAUAGCAUUUGGGUUAUGGGCCAGAUGAAAGCAGGUUGUACAGGGAUUACAGUGAUGCCCUUAGGAAACUUCAAAAUCUCAAACUUAGAAGGCUGCCCGAAAAUUGAAGUAGUCAAAGUCAGAUUGGAUUGUUGAAGGAACAGCUCAAUUAAAGAUGAUCUCAGCACACUUAGAGAUACUGGGUUUAUUGGACUACUUAUGGGGUCGGAAAGAAGGCCAAACACCACAUCAGUAGAGUUAGAUGCACCUGACUGGUGCAUGGAUAAGACAACCACCUGUGAAAAUGAGUAAAUUUAGAUCAACUUCUCACAUAAUGGGGCAGUAAAUACAUGUAAAUAUAAAUGGCAUAAGAUGGGUGUAAAACCUUAGUAGCCGGCAUGCCUAUUUCUUCAUAGAUAUCAUAUUCUAACUUUUCAACAUACCGAACAAGCUCUGAAACUGGUUUCUGAAGUUUAAAGUAUGCACGAACUGAGGCUGCAAAGCAUAAAUGAAUGCAUGUAAGUAACAAACAAGGAAAAUUACUAGUAUUUCACUAAGCAUUUAGACCAAAGUCACCAAAUCAGGAAAGGCUAAUUCUAAAUAAGGAACUGAUGUCCGUUAUCUUAAUUUGACAGCUCCAUUAAAAAAUGAAGUAACAUGCCAAGAAAGGCCAUUGAGUUCAAUAGAGAACUGAAUACUCGUAUGAUGGCACAUGAUCUUGCAAAAGAUUACCAGUUUCUAUGUGAUCAACUGUUUAUCAAUUUAUGGUAUGAAAAAAACAAUCACCACAGAUCCUUGCCUCAAACAUUUGAGAUUUUUGUUUAAAAGAAAAAAAAAAGGGAGGGGGGGGGGGAGGGGAUUAACGCAUUGAAACAAGCCAUUAACCGUUUCCCCUGUAACAAAAAGGAGAAAUACUCUAAAAAUAGAAAAAAAAAUCACUUUCUAUUAUACUUGAACCAGGCUUUAAACAUAAAAUUGAAUAUAUAGAUACACACAUAUAGUUCCAAUUUAGAAAUCAAUAAAGAACCUGCCCUCACAGUAAUAGCAGUAGAAGGUGAAGUACAUGCAUACCUAUUUACCCAAAGAAUUAGCAGAAACCAAUAAAACAACAAGGCAAAAUAAAUAACAUCCGAAAACCCGAAAGGUAUGAAAGAAAAACAAGGGAAAACCCACAUUUUAGAAUAUCAAAACUCCAGAUUUAAAAGAUAGAUUUCGAAUCUACAAAAUGAAAUAUAAUCAAGUGCAAUUACAAGAGGAGCCAACCAAGAACCCUAAUUGAAGCACAAAGGUGAAAUAGAUAUCAAUCAGGGAAAUACCCAUUAGUCCUCGACAGUUGAGGAUCCAAUUAAAACAACAAAAAGUGCAAAGAAAAUUAACAUAAGCGCAAUUAUCGGAGAUACCGUAAAAACCCUAAUCAAACAGAAAAGAAAAAAACCGCUUCAAUGAUCAAACCCUAGUCAAACAAAUAAAACGAGAGACUAAAUUAAAAUUUUAAAAAGAAAAGAAAAACCUACCGCUGAGCUUAAUAGCUUGUUUGGCAUCAAAUCCAGUGGUUAUAGAACGGUAAGGAAGGAUCCAGAAGAUCCCUGGCAACAAAACCGACAAACUAAGAAACAAAACAAAAACACAUUUGAAACUGAGGUCGUUUGAAAGCCUUGAGAAAAGCAUCCAACAGCUCCCUGGACGCCCUUGAUCAUUCCCUGAUUCAAGAUUCUGCUCUCUUUGCUGCAGAUCUGGGUCCUCAUUUUUCCCCAUUGAAAGAGCAUCUGGAAGAGCACAAAGAAAAGCUAAAGACUUCUCUCUCUCUCUCUCUCUAACUCACUGGCCCUGGGUCCUUCUCUUCUUUUGAACUUUAGCUCUCUAGAAAACUCACUCUAUCACCAACAACAGCAACAAAGAAUAACUUUGCAAAGGGUUGAAGCGUGUGGAUCGAAAGACAAGCGUUAAUGGUGGGCAUAUGCCCUCUGCCUCUCUCGCUCUCUCUCUGUCUAUUAACUACAAAAUUGUUACACACUGCCUUUUCUCUUUCUCUCUCUCUCUAACGCUAACCUUUUUCACUUUCAUUUUAUUUCACAAGCUUUUAAUUGAGUUGAAAUUACAGGAUUCAAUUUUAGUGUUACUUGCUGUUGAAUUAUUUUUAUAGAGUAAUAAAUAUUAUAUUUAUUUUAUUCAAACACAUUAGGGUAUUAUUUUUACGUGCACCCAUAGUAAUACUAUAAUAAUUCCCAAUUAACUGACAAUAUAUUUCUAAAAUAUUUGGUGGUAAAACAAGUAUCUUCUCUUUCACUUUUCAUUUCAUCUAAGCUAAUUCUUUAUAAUAAAAUAAUUUUAAUUUUAAUUUUAUUUAAAAAUAAAAAUAUUUUCAUGCCAACUUAAUAAUAAAUAAGUUUUUUUUUAAAAAAAAAGGUAUUUUGGUUGGUGCCACUAUGAAGUGGACAAUGUGUCAUAAAACAAAAAACAAAAGGGUCACUUGCUUGGAGGAGAAAUUUUUUAAAAUAAUUAUAUUAUUUUCCAUUUAUGUAAUUUGGGUUUCACUCAGGGCAGGUCGACCAAUAUUGGACAUGCACGUGGACCAAUAAUAAGUCAAGGAUCUCCUUUAUAAUCAAUUAGAAUAAUUAUGCGACAUAUAUUAAAGAUGUGAUGUCUAUUUGAUUGCACAAUAGUUACCAACACUAGUGUAAUCUUCUUCUACAAGUCUUCUUCUUUUACAUAUAUAUAUAAUCUCUUUAAUCUUAUCAUAACAUAAUAAAAUACACUAACAUAACCAACAUAUAUGAAUUACAAUAAAAUGAAUGACAAAGUUUUUUUUUCCUCUCUAUUUUUCUUAAAUUUUUUUUUAUUUUUUUAGUCAAUUUUACCAUCAAAUCCUUUUGAUUUUGUAAAGGAUUAAAGUUUUUUCAUACAUUUUGUUUUUAUUCUAUUUAAAAAUGUAUGUAUUAUCUUCUAAUUAUUAUUUAUAAAAAUUUUAUAUUUUUCUUUAUGUAAAGGUAUGUUUAAUAAAUCAUGUAAAAUUUUCAGUUCAUUAAAAAUAAAAAUUUCUAAUAUUUAAUAUUUUAAAUAUGUCUGAUAAUCAUUUUGAUUUUUUACUUAAUAUAAAAUUUUUAACAAAAAAGUGUUGAAUAAGAUAAAUACGUAAAUAGAUACUUAUCACUUAAAGUAGAAAAUAUUAAGUUUAUUUUAUUUUAUUAAAAAUCUAAAUAAAUUAUAUAUUUUUAAAAUUUUUUUGAAAUGACCAUACUUAUCUUUUAUUUAAAACUGUCUAAAAUAAUAUAAAAUAUUAUAUUAAUAAGAUUAAAAUUAAAUAAUAAUUAAUAUUUUUAAAUUAAUAUUUGCUUUUAUUAAACAACAUAAUUACAUUCCGUAUUUAUAUUUACUAGCUUACCAAAUAAUUUUCUAAUAUAAAUUUAUCACUUAUAAAAUUUAAAAGUAAAAAUUUAGUACUCAACUUUUGAGCACUUAAAUUUUUAGUUUAUCAAAUAUACCCUACAAUAGUUUUUAUUUUUGUUAAAGUUUGAGUUUUAUAGGUAAGACUUGAAUUUUUUAAAAUAAUAUAAAAAAUACUUAUAUAUAUUUGAAAAAAGUUUUUUUUUUUGGAAUAUCGUUUUUUUGGCAUGGUGUCAAGAUUGUAGCAAGGUCAAAUCUCUACAAAAUUUAUGUAAUAUGGUUUUCUUUGUAGUGCAUUUAGCUUACUUUUUGUCUCACGCUACAGUAUCUAAUCUCACC